AAAUUUUUGGGUCUUGUUGGAAUAUUUCUUUUAAAAAAAAAAAUAAAUAAAUAAAAACAUACUAAAAGACUGAUAAAGCUUGGAAUCUGAACCAAAAAGUGAAUACUCAAUAUCCUAGUACUCAUUUCUACCUAAUUCUGCUCAAUCUUACUGUCAACAUGUGUUGCGGACCUUGCGGUGGUUGCUGUGGACCCUGUGGCGGUUGCUGCGGACCAUGCUACUCCUGCUGCGGACCCUGCUAUUCCUGCUGUGGCCCGUGCUACUCCUGCUGCGGACCCUGUGGCGGCUGCUGUGGUGGAUGUGGACCCUGUUGCUA
This is a long non-coding RNA of Drosophila arizonae, 316 nucleotides long. The record is from RefSeq and is a predicted model, not a curated record. Lineage: Eukaryota; Metazoa; Arthropoda; Insecta; Diptera; Drosophilidae.